Bos taurus (domestic cattle) is the source of this 675-nucleotide long non-coding RNA. The record is from Ensembl. Lineage: Eukaryota; Metazoa; Chordata; Mammalia; Artiodactyla; Bovidae.
CUGGAGAGGCGAUCAACAUUUGGAAGAGUGGAGCUAUCCAACUCUUCGUCAACAGUUACGGUGACCGACGAAGCAACCCAGAGUGGACUUCCUUCCUUCGACUGGACUCCACAAGGAACUGGAGCUUUGGUACCAGCAGCGGCCCCUUGCGCCCAUCUGCCUCCUCGAGGAGUGCAGACGAAUUUGGAGGGGGCCACACGUCAAAGAAGUGAGGACUUAAAUCCUACAGUUGCAAGGAACUGAAUUCUGCCAAGAAUAAGCUUGGAAAAUGACUCUUCCCCAGGGCCUCCAAUGAGAAUUCAGCUGGGCCAUAACCCUGAUUGCAUCCUUGUGGUAACUUCAGCAGAGCCCUGUCCAGCCAUGCUGGGCCUCCAUACAGAACUGAGAAAAGGCUGCUGCUUGUGGUGAUGAUCAAUGGGGGACCGAUGUACAUGGACAUUUAUAUUGUUGGACUUGCACCUUUUACUUAUGCUUGUGCUUGAAUUAAAUCCGUUAUAACCAAAGAAGGGAUUUGAACAUGGAGUAAAGUUGGCUUGACUGCCUGUAUCCUGACCCCAUCAAGCAUGGAAUCACUACUAACAAAAUACGUGAAACAUGAUCAAAAACCCUGGAGGCUUAAGACAGCAACUCCAUUGACUCCAACAGGCACUUCAACAGAUUUUAACAGAUGUGAGA